Long non-coding RNA from Hemicordylus capensis (graceful crag lizard), 1065 nucleotides. RefSeq lists it as uncharacterized. The record is from RefSeq and is a predicted model, not a curated record. The transcript has 4 exons. Lineage: Eukaryota; Metazoa; Chordata; Lepidosauria; Squamata; Cordylidae.
GGGAACACUGGCCCAGGCCCUCCUCUAGGAGAGAGAGAGAAUAUGAGCAAUGCAAAUACCAACUUGUGUCAUCUAUGAACACAGAUUGUUACACCUUACUGCAUCAUCAUCAGUGUGCUAGAUAGAGGGCCUAGAUUGUAUAUGGAUUUACGCAUCCUUCCUCAUCACUAUAGGUCCGUCCUGAAUACUAAAAACCACAAGGGGAGGAGAAGUCAUAUGGGCCCUUCUCUUCCAAUCACUGCCCUCCCUCUCAGCCAACUGGACAGUAAUCAAGUGGAAAGGAUCUGCAUGAUUGGUCCUAUCGAGGUUAUUCUACUAUCCAGGUGCUAACCAUAAGAAGAUGGGUCCUUGCCACAGGAAACCCUUUUCAUCAUCCUUGGGGUCUCUGCUGAGGUCUUGCAGUUCUCUGCACUGAGUACAAUUGGAUCCUUUAAUUGUGAGGAAAAGAAGCAGCAGAAUGACCUGACAUCGGAGGAGGCCAGCUCAGAACAGUGACUCAUGCAGAAACACAGUGAGUGGGCCCCUCUUCCAAGGAUCAGGAGGUGAAGCUCUUCACACUUUUUUUAUUUAUUUUAUUUAUUUUUGCAUUUAUAUACCGCCUUUCAUUAAAAAGAUAACCCCAAGGCGGUUUACAAAAGUUAAAAACAUACAAUAAAAACACAAUAAAAACAUCAUGUUAAAAGUACAAAAACAUAUAAAAACAGGCAUAAAAACAACACAACAAAUACAACAAAUAGAAACACAGAGAAGCCGCAGUAGAAAACAAUCAUGUAAAAGCCUGGGUAAAAAGCCAAGUCUUUAAAAGCUUUCUAAAAGCCGUGAUGGAGUCCGAGGAACGAAUGGCCACUGGGAGAGCAUUCCAGAGUCUGGGGGCAGCAACAGAGAAGGCCCUGUCCCGAGUGCACGACAACCGGGCCUCCCUCAUUGUCGGCACCCGGAGCAGGGCCCCCUCAGAUGUCCUCGUCCAGCGGGCAGCAACCCUUGGGAGCAGGCGGUCCCUCAAAUACCCUUGCACUCAAAAAGCUAAUCUUGUUGGGCAGAAGCACGCUCCCAUUUUAAUUCAGA